GACGAACGCUGGCGGCGUGCUUAACACAUGCAAGUCGAACGGAAAGGCCCUGCUUUUGUGGGGUGCUCGAGUGACGAACGGGUGAGUAACACGUGAGUAACCUGCCCUUGACUUUGGGAUAACUUCAGGAAACUGGGGCUAAUACCGGAUAGGAGCUCCUGCUGCAUGGUGGGGGUUGGAAAGUUUCGGCGGUUGGGGAUGGACUCGCGGCUUAUCAGCUUGUUGGUGGGGUAGUGGCUUACCAAGGCUUUGACGGGUAGCCGGCCUGAGAGGGUGACCGGCCACAUUGGGACUAAGAUACGGCCCAGACUCCUACGGGAGGCAGCAGUGGGGAAUAUUGCACAAUGGGCGGAAGCCUGAGGCAGCAACGCCGCGUGCGGGAUGACGGCCUUCGGGUUGUAAACCGCUUUCGCCUGUGACGAAGCGUGAGUGACGGUAAUGGGUAAAGAAGCACCGGCUAACUACGUG
RNAcentral lists this ribosomal RNA (468 nucleotides) under uncultured bacterium. RNAcentral's name for it is "partial 16S ribosomal RNA". It matches the Rfam family "Bacterial small subunit ribosomal RNA", at positions 28 to 507 of the family's 1533-position model. The record is from RNAcentral.